AGUGAACGCUGGCGGUAGACCUAACACAUGCAAGUCGAACGGCAGCACAGUAAGAGCUUGCUCUUACGGGUGGCGAGUGGCGGGUGGGUGAGGAAUACAUCGGAAUCUACUUUUUCGUGGGGGAUAACGUAGGGAAACUUACGCUAAUACCGCAUACGACCUACGGGUGAAAGCAGGAGAUCUUUGGACCUUGCGCGAUCGCAUGAGCCGAUGUCGGAUUAGCUAGUUGGCGGGGUAAAGGCCCACCAAGGCGACGAUCCGUAGCUGGUCUGGGAGGCUGAUGAGCGACACUGGAACUGAGACACGGUCCAGACUCCUACGGGAGGCAGCAGUGGGGAAUAUUGGACAAUGGGCGCAAGCCUGAUCCAGCCAUACCGCGUGGGUGAAGAAGGCCUUCGGGUUGUAAAGCCCUUUUGUUGGGAAAGAAAAGCAGCAGGUUAAUACCCCGCUGUUCUGACGGUACCCAAAGAAUAAGCACCGGCUAACUUCGUG
This 492-nucleotide ribosomal RNA is filed under the name uncultured bacterium. RNAcentral describes it as "partial 16S ribosomal RNA". It matches the Rfam family "Bacterial small subunit ribosomal RNA", at positions 29 to 507 of the family's 1533-position model. The record is from RNAcentral.